This 355-nucleotide ribosomal RNA is filed under the name uncultured bacterium. RNAcentral's name for it is "bacterial SSU rRNA". It matches the Rfam family "Bacterial small subunit ribosomal RNA", at positions 527 to 881 of the family's 1533-position model. The record is from RNAcentral.
GUAGGGUGCAAGCGUUGUCCGGAAUCACUGGGUGUAAAGGGAGCGCAGGCGGGAAGACAAGUUGGAAGUGAAAACCAUGGGCUCAACCCAUGAAUUGCCUUCAAAACUGUUUUUCUUGAGUAGUGCAGAGGUAGAUGGAAUUCCCGGUGUAGCGGUGGAAUGCGUAGAUAUCGGGAGGAACACCAGUGGCGAAGGCGGUCUACUGGGCACCAACUGACGCUGAGGCUCGAAAGCAUGGGUAGCAAACAGGAUUAGAUACCCUGGUAGUCCAUGCCGUAAACGAUGAUUACUAGGCGUUGGGGGAUUGACCCCCUCAGUGCCGCAGUUAACACAAUAAGUAAUCCACCUGGGGAGU